This 369-nucleotide ribosomal RNA is filed under the name uncultured bacterium. RNAcentral describes it as "bacterial SSU rRNA". It matches the Rfam family "Bacterial small subunit ribosomal RNA", at positions 355 to 721 of the family's 1533-position model. The record is from RNAcentral.
UGAGGAAUAUUGGGCAAUGCCCGCAAGGGUGACCCAGCAACGCCGCGUGGAGGAUGAAUGUCGUAAGAUUGUAAACUCCUGUUAGAGGGGAAGAAUAGUACCGGUUGGACCGGUAUAUGACUGUACCCUCAGAGAAAGCCCCGGCUAACUACGUGCCAGCAGCCGCGGUAAUACGUAGGGGGCAAGCGUUGUCCGGAUUUACUGGGUGUAAAGGGCGCGCAGGCGGGAUAAAAAGUCAGUGGUGAAAUCCUACAGCUUAACUGUAGAACUGCCUUUGAUACUUUUAUUCUUGAGUUCGGGAGAGAGAGACGGAAUUCCAGGUGUAGUGGUGAAACACGUAGAUAUCUGGAAGAAAACUAGUUGCGAAGG